AAAGAACAAGGCAGAUUCUUCUUCCAUUUACGACUUGAUACAACAGGCUGUUUCACACGUUAUUGACCUUAUACCAGAGGCCUGAAAGUCUGACGGUUUGAUGCGUCUUAUCUACUAUCACGAUCAUGAUAUCAUCUACUAUCACGAUGUCUGGCUCUACCUCAUCAGUUCAUUCUUGGGAACCAUUGCUUAAAUGUAUUCAUAGAUGUUAUGGGUCUCACUCCAAACAAUGGUUAUUACAUCGUGUAGGUCCUUUCCCCACAAAUUCAGUGUAAAGCACUGGACCUAGGCACCUACGGGAGCUAAACAGGAAGAAUGUAACGAGGCACAGUAUGCAUACGGAAAAGACGCUUCACACUGAAACAAAUGUCCUCAGGAGAGGGCAAGGUGACUCAGGGCGAGGCAGCAGGUCCAUGCGAGGAGGAGGAGGAGGAGGAGGAAGAGAACUGGAUGUGGGUGCUGAGGCU
Non-coding RNA from Electrophorus electricus (electric eel), 467 nucleotides. The record is from RefSeq and is a predicted model, not a curated record. NCBI's taxonomy places the organism in Eukaryota, Metazoa, Chordata, Actinopteri, Gymnotiformes, Gymnotidae.